RNAcentral lists this transfer RNA (72 nucleotides) under Marmota marmota marmota (Alpine marmot). It matches the Rfam family "tRNA". Rfam says of the family: Transfer RNA (tRNA) molecules are approximately 80 nucleotides in length. Lineage: Eukaryota; Metazoa; Chordata; Mammalia; Rodentia; Sciuridae. RNAcentral also lists the same sequence under 2 other names. The record is from Rfam by way of RNAcentral.
UGGGUUGUGGCUCAGCAGUAGAGCACUCACCUAGCACAUGUGAGGCCCUGGGUUCGAUUCUCAGCACCACAU